GACAUUGGAGGCAAACCAAUAGGGACCUCAAAAAGCUGGCAGUGCUGCUAGCCAGGGUGAGUCAGGAAGUUUCCAAUAACAUCUAAGGGGUAUAAACUGAGAAGGUGAGCCAAAACUGGAUGCAGGAACAAUCCUUGGCCACUCUCUGAGUGCUCCCAGCCAAGUUACAAAUCACAGGGACAUCUCCCAGGAAAGUAAGCACAGCCAAAGGCUACUCAUCCCAAAGGCAAUGCGGGCUGCUUCUGACCCAGGUUAGGAUGAAGGGACAAAGAUGAUCUGGCUGAGAGCUCCAAAUGUCCUCAUGCCACGGCUCAUGGGCAGCCUGCCUCACAGGUUAGUGUUGCCUGUCCCCAGGGAGAUGGAUGGCCAGAAGAACACCCAGCUUGUCUGCAAGCCCAUUCCUCUACCAACACAUCUGCAAAAGGAAAGAAGAGCUUCUUUGUCCAGCACCUGGACUGUAGGAGGAGCAGCUGUGAACCAGAACAAUGCACUGGAAUAAGGGACAAAAGAAGUGACUAGAAAAAGUUAUUUCAGGACCACAUGGCUUCAAAGGCUAAAAAAGCCCCAAACAGGGGUUGUCAGAGGGACUGGAGAAUGUUAGCUGUCAAAGGAUGCCAAACAUAGUUUGGCCAUGAGGGAUCUUCCCAUUGCCUAAUUCACUUAAGGCAGUUGACCACCCUGCUAGAAUCCAGCUUAGAGGAGAGGCAGGCAGAGAGCUGCCAGGGCAAGGUAAGCAACUAGAAUAACAGCAGUGUCACACUUCACACCCCACAUGAAAGGUCCUUUUUCUAGGUUGGCUUAUCUAGGAAUAUGGAAAAGAGCCAAGAACAUAAAACCCAAACCCCUGUAAUUCAAAUACCUUGCUUUUAAGGAAUACUAACCCUAAUCACCUGUCAACCCAAGGAAUGAACCCUCCCCCUGAUGGGUUAUCUCCCUCCCUUAUUUGCAUGCUCUUCUUCUGGCUUCUGAAAGCCACAGAAAGGUGAAGGUCUCAGUCUUGCAGAAGCUGAAUGCUUGGGAAACAGCUGCCUGGCCUGGCAGCCUCUCCAGCAAUGCAUUUCUUAAGCACUCUACAAGCAAUCACAGUAAAGCUUUAGAAUUGUGUUGCCAGCUGAAACAGCAUACCACCCCACCCCCCCACCCCCCCCCCCGAACACAUCUCUAGCCCAAGUGAAUGACAUCACAUAGAGCAGCCAUUCCACAGCAAACAAACAUCCACUGAUAGAGCAAAAAUGGAGUUUUUAACAAGCUUCACUUCAUAACUCAUCUCAUAUGAUAUAACUGUCAGAAGCACCAGAUGAUCUAACCCACACACCACAUGCUUGCUCUCAGCCUGAAUUAGCUGAGGCACCUGUACCCCAGCCUGCCAAAGGUGGUGCUCCUCUAAAUACCAAAGCCCCAAGGGUAAAGGUUUCUGUAACAUCAGUAUUAUUCAGAUAAACAUUAUACUAUUCUCUAAAUCAGAAAUCCCUAGUCAUCUCAUUAUAUACCCACAAGAUCUAUCUAGGCAAGAUAAAAAAGGAUAUUGAUACUACCCUAUCCUCUGCUAUGUGGGGAUUAAGGAGCAUGUUAAGUUUAAAACCAGCACAAGAAACAACUAGAAGCAGCAUCAGAACAUCAGCCCAAAAUGAAAAAGAAUGGAUUAGAGACAAACCUACACACAGCACAGGUCCAAGAAUCACCCAACACUAUAGACGCAUUUAUCUACCACACAGUUGAGACAAGAAGCUAGGACCCAAGCCUGAGUUUAAAUAGAGGUCCCGGCCCAAUGGGCAGAGGGAUGUUGGUGGGGUGGGGGGUCCCAGGUGAGUCUCACCAGGGUGAUUAGGGGCUCCGAUAUAAAAGCUGGUGGCUGGAGGUCUGUCCCUUCUGUAUUAGUAAGAUAAUGGGAUAAAACAUGGGAGAUAAUUGAUGAGCAAUGGUACUCAUAGAGGAAAGCACGUGCAGAGGAGUGAGUUUCUCUUUUAACAGUUUUAGAGGAGCACCUGGGCCCUAAAUGCCUAGGUUGUGUUGGUAUAAAACCAGUUGUCAGAGGAGGAAGAAACCAAGUGAGAAAACCGGGGGCCAGAAACAUCAACAGGUAAAAGGCAAAGCACUCCAGGGGCUGCAUAAAGAAGCCAAGGCCAUCAGAUCAAAUAAAUCUGCAUUUGCUCUGAUUUGCUGGCAAGCCAGCCUGGUUUCCUGCAUGAUUAGUUUUCUUCUGCUGCAUGGCAGUUAAGUGGUUUAGGUCUAAUUGCUCAGGAGCCUGAAGCUUUCUGUAGCUCAGAGAAACAGCUAUGCAAUGGAAAUGGAUAUGCUAUCUCCAUGUGUCCCUCACCAUCCAGAAGCCCCAUCUCUGGGGGUGAUGCUGUCCCAAACAUGCAACUCACCAGGACACCCUGGGAAUGUCCCUUGGCACCUCUCCUUGAGGGUGCAGACCCACUGGCAGUUGCUGCUGAGCAAGCCUAUCUGUACACACCUCUGUGGAUGGCGGGGUUGUACCAACAUCUCUUGUAGAUGUAUGUCCUGCUUUUUGCAAAAGGCAAGAGCAGAAUCUAUGUGGCCAAACACGUAAAGUUGGGGGCUUCAGGCAAGCUGUCAUGGAGAGGGUCCAAGCAAGGUCUUCACUGGCUGUUGGCUUUUGGCCUGGUUUGGGAGUUGCUCUUUUCCAGGUUAUUGCAUAGCAGGACGAGCUAACACAGGGACCUGGCUUGCUCCUGAGCACUUUUCAGACCCUGAGGAAAGCUGUGGCAGGCAGAUUGCUCUUGAGGAACCAGAUGGACAGCUUCGCCACCCUGCAUCCUCUGCUCCUCACAGCUAAAAAUGAUAAUGUCAACUUGUAAAGUAAAGAUGGUUGCUUGCAUGGUUCCUAUCACCUGCUCUUCCCCUGCCUGGGGUGAGUGUUCACAUCCUCCUCAGGCAACUCUCUGCUCUCAUGUCCAAACCCAGCAGCAAGGGCUGUUGGUUGUACAACAAACCUAUUUUUUACAACAGCUGUGGAGCUGGGUGUCCACACCACCCUCCACACAACUAAACCAUUAUGUUCCCACCUCAACACCACGUGUUGCUUAAUUAUUCUACUCAUGAAGUCCUUGAUCCUGAAGCUGCAAUGACAUUAUGACAGAAAAGAAGAUGAAGAGGAGUCUUCAUAGCUUUUUUCUCCUUCUGAGAGUGACUUGUGGCUACUGGUCAACUGAUGCAGCCAGAGGUGACUGAUGAGGACCUGGGGUGGAAAGCCUCUGUGUUCCUGGAGAAUCCCUGCUGGCAAGGCCUGUGUCCGCACUGGGGUGGGCUGGCAGGCUGUCACCUCGUAUGGUGACUUUUGCUGAUUGCUGGGAGCUUUUGCCCUCAUUAAGAGCAGUAGCUGACAGCACCAGCUUAUUCUAAAAUGACUUUUGCUUGAUAUAAAUAAAACAUACUUUAAUACUGCAUGUUAUAUUUUUGGAACAUGCAGAUAUGUGUUAUGCUGGGCUUAUUUCCCUGGGAUGUUACAUCAUAGGAUGAGAAACCACUUGUCAGCUCUUGGGGCUGAUAACUGGCAGAUGAGCCUACAUGCCCUUGGGCUUGGGCCCUCUCACAAUGCCUUUUCCCAAGUGGAUAUCUUGGAUAUGGUUCUUGAGCUGGCCAGGCCUGUGUCAAAGAGUAGGUCUGCCCAAGUGACAAUGCACCAGCUAAA
Long non-coding RNA from Pezoporus occidentalis (night parrot), 3655 nucleotides. RefSeq lists it as uncharacterized. The transcript is spliced from 2 exons. The record is from RefSeq and is a predicted model, not a curated record. NCBI's taxonomy places the organism in Eukaryota, Metazoa, Chordata, Aves, Psittaciformes, Psittacidae.